Molecule: ribosomal RNA, 502 nt
Filed under: uncultured bacterium
Lineage: Bacteria
Description: partial 16S ribosomal RNA
Rfam family: Bacterial small subunit ribosomal RNA
Source: RNAcentral
AUUGAACGCUGGCGGAAUGCUUUACACAUGCAAGUCGAACGGCAGCACGGGUGCUUGCACCUGGUGGCGAGUGGCGAACGGGUGAGUAAUACAUCGGAACGUACCCAGUCGUGGGGGAUAACGUAGCGAAAGUUACGCUAAUACCGCAUACGUCCUGAGGGAGAAAGCGGGGGACCGUAAGGCCUCGCGCGAUUGGAGCGGCCGAUGGCGGAUGAGCUAGUUGGUGGGGUAAAGGCCUACCAAGGCGACGAUCCGUAGCGGGUCUGAGAGGACGGCCAGCCAAACUGGAACUGAGACACGGUCCAGACUCCUACGGGAGGCAGCAGUGGGGAAUUUUGGACAAUGGGCGAAAGCCUGAUCCAGCCAUUCCGCGUGAGUGAAGAAGGCCUUCGGGUUGUAAAGCUCUUUCGGCAGGGAAGAAACGGCUUGGGAUAAUACCCCGGGCUAAUGACGGUACCUGAAGAAGAAGCGCCGGCUAACUACGUGCCAGCCGCCGCCGUAA